Molecule: non-coding RNA, 2671 nt
Organism: Equus caballus (horse)
Lineage: Eukaryota; Metazoa; Chordata; Mammalia; Perissodactyla; Equidae
Source: RefSeq, a predicted model, not a curated record
ACCAUCUUCCCGGCUUCCGGCUCCCCGGCGGUCACCGCGGCCCGCCUCUGUUCCGGCGCGCCGGAAGUGCGUCAGAGAAGUGCCUCGGUGGUUUUUUUCCGCGGGGACCCUGGAACUCGCUAGAGUCUCGUACCUGCCUCUGCCCCCCGACUGGGGCGGGGGCCAUCAAACUUGGGGGUGUUAGAGGGCCCGGUUUUAGCGUUCACUCCAGUGCGUAGAAGACAGACCAGGAUUUUGCAGGGAGAGACCUUCGUGGGGCCUGCGAAACCCGAAGUGAAAGAGGGCCCUGGACUCCGUUUUACACGAACGAAUUGGGAAAGUCUCAUCUUCUGCCCUACUCCAUCCAUCCUCUCAUUUGUUCAGCAAUUCUAACGGUCUUAAUGUACCCAGGGGUGUGGCUGAAGAAGAUGUUUGCUUUAUUUAUAAUAUAUAUGUAUAUUUACAAUCAUGUAUUCUUGUAUUAUUUGUGAAGUUGAAUAUAAAUAACAUAAAAUUUAAAGACUUGGUUGGGGUAAAGAUGUAUAUGUUAAGUGCCCCAGGAGCUCGGAGACUAAUUACGAACUAUAUAAAGGUGAGAUGGUGGGUAGGGAUUGGAAAUAAGCAAAAAAGAAGAACUUAAAGAAAUUGUAAAGAAGAGCGAUAAAAAUUUUUUUUGCAGUGAAAGGAAGGGAAUGACCAGAAUUAAGAGAAGCUUUUUGAUUUUCUUUUAGGAUGAAGAGUGGAGAGCUAGAACAUGUUUGAGGGGAACGGAAGAGGAUUGAAGAAGGAAGUAAACAGAUAUUGUUGGAGAUGAGAAAGGAUGAGUGCCUCGCCAAAUCUUUCUCCCUUACUUCUUUAUAACAGAAUACCAUUUUUUUUUCUUGAGUUCGUUCUGUGGAAGCUGGCUAGCUGCAUGUUGUGAGCUGCCCUAUGGAGAGGGCCAUGUGACAAGGAAGUGUGGGAGGCCUCUGGCCCAUAGCCAGCGAGGAACAGAGUCCAGCCAACAACCACCUGAGCAGUUUGGAAGCCGACCAACCUCAGUCAAGCCCAUAGGUGAGACUGUCAUCCCAGCUGACACUUUGAUUGCAACAUUUUGAGAGACCGUUGAGGUACCCAGAUGCGGCAAUAGAUAAUACAUUCACUAUUGGCUAAUUUUGUUUGUUCUAAAACUUCAUGUAAAAAAAAAUGUAGUAUGUACUAUUUCAUGUCUAGCUUCUUUCUCUCAGCAUAAUGUUUCUGAGAUUCAUCCGUGUUACUUUGUAUACCAGUAGUUCAUUCUUUUUUAUUGCUGAGUAGUAUUCCAUUGUAUGAUUAUACUACAAUUCACCUAUCCAUUCAACUCUUGAUAGACAUUUGGGUCAUUUCCAGUUUUCAGCUAUUAUGAGCAAAGUGCUAUAAACAUUUGUGUAUGUCAUUUUUGGACAUUUUUAUUUUUCUUGAGUAAAUACCUAGGAGUGGAAUUGCUGGGCCAUAUGGUAAGUGUACAUUUGAUUUUGUAAGAAAUGCCAACUUAUUUUCCAUAGUGGUCAUACCAUUUUACAUUCCCACCAGCAUUAUAUGAGAACUGCUUCUCCCUCAUCCUCACCAAUACUUGGUAUUGUCAGUCUUUUAAAAUUUUAGCUAUUUUAGUGAUAUUUCAUUGUGGUUUUAAUUUGCAUUUCCCUGAUGACUAAUGAUGUUGAACAUCUUUUAGUGUUCUUAUUGGCUAUUCAUGUCUUCUUUGGAGAAAAGUCUAUUCAAUCUUUUGCAUAUUUUUUAUUGGGUUGUCUUAUUAAGUUAUGAGUUCUUUACAUAUUCUGGAUACAAGACCCUUAUCAGAUAUGAUUUGCAAAUAUUUUCUCACAUUCUAUAGGUUCUCUUUUUACAUUCUCGAUGAUGUCUUUCGAAGUGCAAUUUAAAAAAUUUGAUCAUGUACAAUUUAUUUUUCAUCAGAAAUAUGUACUGCAAAUAUUGCCCCCCGUCUGUGGCUUACAUUUUCAUAUUCUUAAUACUGUCUCUUGAAGAACAGAAGAUUUUAAAUGAUUAAAUUAUUACCAAUGUUUUAUGAUUAAAUUUUUUAUCAGAAACUUUUGCAGCCAGUUUUAAUUUUUUUCCUUUGUUCUAAUUCCACACACAUCAAAAUGAAUAGAAAAUUUCAACUGAAAAUUAAAAAGUGACCAGAGGGAAAGGCAGACUAUUUCUAGGGAAGAAAAUCCAGAUUUUCAUCAGCAAGAGUAUUUAUGCUGGAAGUCAAUGUAAUAUUAUCUUCAAGAUGCUGAGAGAAAGUAUUUGGAAACAGUAUUCUAUAACGUGAAAUGAUCAUUUAAGAUUGAUGACAAAAUAAAGUCAUCUCAGACAAACUUGACCUAGAAAGAUUAUGCCCAAAGACCUUCAGUGAAAGAAUUACUAAGGACAUACUUAAGCAAGAAAAAGGUGAACUUAAAUGGAGUAGGAAGCAGGAAUCAACAGUGAGCAAAGAAACAGGGAAAACAGAGCUGUGUCAAAAUAAGUAAUGCUUACUAUAAAACAUGAACCUUCUUAAAAUGAUGCACCAACAGACACUAAAACCUUGUAUUACAUUUUAUACAUUUAUUCAUCUCUGAGGGAUACAUACUACAGUUUUGUUUGACUUCUCUGGUAGUGAAACUACAUACAGCCAUAUCCUGAUAUAUUUAGGGGAUUUGGGCAAGUUUUAGUCUCUUUCAUAAAACGU